GCACGAGGACGCCCUCGCCCAUCACGGGAAAGCAAAUCGGGACGGCCCGG
This 50-nucleotide non-coding RNA is filed under the name Sphingomonas sp. Its description in RNAcentral is "Guanidine-II sequence". It matches the Rfam family "Guanidine-II riboswitch aptamer (mini-ykkC)". From Rfam's summary of the family: Simpler in structure and has fewer highly conserved nucleotide positions than the ykkC-yxkD leader. Despite this each of its two stem-loop structures directly bind free guanidine. The record is from RNAcentral. Lineage: Bacteria; Pseudomonadati; Pseudomonadota; Alphaproteobacteria; Sphingomonadales; Sphingomonadaceae.